AGGUGAUGUGGUACUGACUGGAACGUAGGUACUAGGUGAUGUGGUACUGACUGGAACGUAGGUACUAGGUGAUGUGGUACUGACUGGAACGUAGGUACUAGGUGAUGUGGUACUGACUGGAACAUAGGUGCUGACUGGAACGUAGAUGCUAGGUGAUGUGGUACUGACUGGAACGUAGGUACUAGGUGAUGUGGUACUGACUGGAACGUAGGUACUAGGUGAUGUGGUACUGACUGGAACGUAGAUGUUAGGUGAUGUGGUACUGACUGGAACGUAGGUACUAGGUGAUGUGGUACUGACUGGAACGUAGGUGCUAGGUGAUGUGGUACUGACUGGAACAUAGGUGCUGACUGGAACGUAGAUGCUAGGUGAUGUGGUACUGACUGGAACGUAGGUGCUAGGUGAUGUGGUACUGACU
Long non-coding RNA from Oncorhynchus keta (chum salmon), 418 nucleotides. RefSeq lists it as uncharacterized. The transcript has 4 exons. The record is from RefSeq and is a predicted model, not a curated record. NCBI's taxonomy places the organism in Eukaryota, Metazoa, Chordata, Actinopteri, Salmoniformes, Salmonidae.